CCGGAGGCGACCGGCGGAGACCACCUCACCGGCGACCUGCAGGCUGCGGCCAGGAGGGCAAGAGGACUCGGCGUCUCGGCAGAUGAAGAAAGAGAAUGGUGCUGGGCUUGCUGGAAGCAGCAUAUAUGCAAUGUGGAAUAAAGCUUCAAAAGCAAAGAAGAUAGAUGAAAGAAUUAUGUGAAGAAUAAAGCUUCAAAAGCAAAGAAUUAUGUGAAGAAUAAGCUAAGAAACAAGAUGGGUGAUGAUUACUUAAACAAUUGCAUGGUUACAUUUGUUGAGAGAGAAUUAUUCAAUCAAGUGAAGGAUGAGGAUGUCAUCAAUCUCUUUCAAAAGGGUGCCCGCAAAGUUAUAUUGUAAGAGGUACUUCCUCUUUCCAUUGAAAUUUGUUGUUGUACUUCGAUUUGUAUGGAUUUAAGCACUUUAGUAUUAUGUAUUGUACUGGAAUAAUUGUUAUAGUUCUACUGAAAUUACUGUCCAACUUUGAGAAAAAAAAAUUGGCUGGUGGGAAUACCCACCAGCAAUUUCC
Molecule: long non-coding RNA, 526 nt
Organism: Lolium rigidum
Lineage: Eukaryota; Viridiplantae; Streptophyta; Magnoliopsida; Poales; Poaceae
Exons: 2
Source: RefSeq, a predicted model, not a curated record